AUGGGCCUGCGGCGCAUUAGCUAGUUGGUAAGGUAACGGCUUACCAAGGCGACGAUGCGUAGCCGACCUGAGAGGGUGAUCGGCCACACUGGGACUGAGACACGGCCCAGACUCCUACGGGAGGCAGCAGUAGGGAAUCUUCCGCAAUGGACGAAAGUCUGACGGAGCAACGCCGCGUGAGUGAGGAAGGCCUUCGGGUCGUAAAGCUCUGUUGUGAGGGAAGAACAAGUACCGGCGUAACUACCGGUACCUUGACGGUACCUCACCAGAAAGCCACGGCUAACUACGUGCCAGCAGCCGCGGUAAUACGUAGGUGGCAAGCGUUGUCCGGAAUUAUUGGGCGUAAAGCGCGCGCAGGCGGCUUCUUAAGUCUGAUGUGAAAUCUCGGGGCUCAACCCCGAGCGGCCAUUGGAAACUGGGAAGCUUGAGUGCAGAAGAGGAGAGUGGAAUUCCACGUGUAGCGGUGAAAUGCGUAGAUAUGUGGAGGAACACCAGUGGCGAAGGCGACUCUCUGGUCUGUAACUGACGCUGAGGCGCGAAAGCGUGGGGAGCAAACAGGAUUAG
Molecule: ribosomal RNA, 564 nt
Filed under: Shouchella hunanensis
Lineage: Bacteria; Bacillati; Bacillota; Bacilli; Caryophanales; Bacillaceae
Description: bacterial SSU rRNA
Rfam family: Bacterial small subunit ribosomal RNA
Source: RNAcentral